GGCCAGACUCCUACGGGAGGCAGCAGUGAGGAAUAUUGGUCAAUGGACGCAAGUCUGAACCAGCCAUGCCGCGUGCAGGAUGACGGCUCUAUGAGUUGUAAACUGCUUUUGUACGAGGGUAAACCCCGAUACGUGUAUCGGGUUGAAAGUAUCGUACAAAUAAGGAUCGGCUAACUCCGUGCCAGCAGCCGCGGUAAUACGGAGGAUCCGAGCGUUAUCCGGAUUUAUUGGGUUUAAAGGGUGCGUAGGCGGUUUGAUAAGUUAGAGGUGAAAUGUCGGAGCUCAACCCCGAAACUGCCUCUAAUACUGUUGGACUAGAGAAUAGUUGCGGUAGGCGGAAUGUAUGGUGUAGCGGUGAAAUGCGUAGAUAUUAGAAGGAACACCAAUAGCGUAGGCAGGUUGCUGGGACGGUUCUGACACUAAGGCACGAAAGCGUAGGGAGCAAACGGGAUUAGAUACCCCCGUAC
This 467-nucleotide ribosomal RNA is filed under the name uncultured bacterium. RNAcentral describes it as "bacterial SSU rRNA". It matches the Rfam family "Bacterial small subunit ribosomal RNA", at positions 329 to 793 of the family's 1533-position model. The record is from RNAcentral.